This 576-nucleotide ribosomal RNA is filed under the name uncultured eukaryote. RNAcentral describes it as "SSU rRNA". It matches the Rfam family "Eukaryotic small subunit ribosomal RNA", at positions 174 to 757 of the family's 1831-position model. The record is from RNAcentral.
UAAAAACCCCGACUUCGGAAGGGGUGUAUUUAUUAGAUACAAAACCAAUGCCCUUCGGGGCUCUUUGGUGAUUCAUGAUAGCUAUACGAAUCGCACGGCCUUGCGCCGGCGAUGGUUCAUUCAAAUUUCUUCCCUAUCAACUUUCGAUGUUUGGGUAUUGGCCAAACAUGGUUGCAACGGGUAACGGAGGGUUAGGGCUCGACCCCGGAGAAGGAGCCUGAGAAACGGCUACUACAUCCAAGGAAGGCAGCAGGCGCGCAAAUUACCCAAUCCCGACUCGGGGAGGUAGUGACAAUAAAUACUGAUACAGGGCCCUUUCGGGCCUUGUAAUUGGAAUGAGUACAAUUUAAAUCCCUUAACGAGGAACAAUUGGAGGGCAAGUCUGGUGCCAGCAGCCGCGGUAAUUCCAGCUCCAAUAGCGUAUAUUAAAGUUGUUGUGGUUAAAAAGCUCGUAGUUGAACCUUGGGCCUGGCUGGCCGGUCCGCCUCACCGCGUGCACUGGUCCGGCCGGGCCUUUCCCUCUGUGGAACCCCAUACCCUUUCACUGGGCGUGGCGGGGAGACAGGACAUUUACUU